GGGACCGUGGCGUAAUGGCAGCGUGCGGGCCUUUUAAGCCCUGAGGCGAGGGUUCGAAUCCUUCCGGUCCUA
Molecule: transfer RNA, 72 nt
Filed under: Gemmataceae bacterium
Lineage: Bacteria; Pseudomonadati; Planctomycetota; Planctomycetia; Gemmatales; Gemmataceae
Description: tRNA-Lys
Rfam family: tRNA
About the family: Transfer RNA (tRNA) molecules are approximately 80 nucleotides in length.
Source: RNAcentral